AAGCCUACUCUAGCUCAACCACACUACUAACUGGACAGACUAAAAAAUUUACUCUACCAAACGAACUAAAACAUUCUCUCAACUUAGUAUAGGUGAUAGAAAAGGUAUUUCUGACGCGAUAGAGACUCGUACCGUAAGGGAAAGAUGAAAUAACAAUGAAAAUUCAAGCAAUAAACAGCAAAGAUAAACUCUUGUACCUCUUGCAUCAUGAUUUAGUAAGAACAACCAAGCAAAAUGAAUUUAAGUUUGUCACCCCGAAACCCAAGCGAGCUACUCACAAACAGCUACCCAUGAGCGAACCCGUCUCUGUUGCAAAAGAGUGGGAUGAUUUGUUAGUAGAGGUGAAAAGCCAACCGAGCUGGGUGAUAGCUGGUUGCCUGUGAAAUGAAUCUAAGUUCUCCCUUGACCAUCCUCUACGGAUACUUAACAUAACCAUAAUGUAGUAGAUCAAGAGUAACUUAAAGGAGGUACAGCUCCUUUAAAAAAGAAUACAAUCUCCCCUAGCGGAUAAACUACAUAUAACAUAUUUUCACUGUGGGCCCUCAAGCAGCCAUCAACAAAGAGUGCGUCAAAGCUCUACUCUUAAAAAUCCAAAUACAAAAUGAAUCCCUUACCCCCAACAGGCUAAUCUAUAACAAUAGAAGAAUUAAUGCUAAAAUAAGUAACUAGGGAAACCCCUCUUAAGCGCAAACUUACAUCCUAACAUUAUUAACAGAUAACGGAUACAACAAUUCCAACAAGACCCAAUAUCAUCUACCCUGUUAACCCAACCCAGGAGCGCCUAUUAGAAAGAUUAAAAUCUGUAAAAGGAACUAGGCAAACCUAAGGCCCGACUGUUUACCAAAAACAUAGCCUUUAGCCAAGCCAAGUAUUGAAGGUGAUGCCUGCCCAGUGACAUUAUGUUUAACGGCCGCGGUAUCCUAACCGUGCGAAGGUAGCGCAAUCAAUUGUCUCAUAAAUCGAGACUUGUAUGAAUGGCUUAACGAGGUCUUAACUGUCUCUUACAGAUAAUCAGUGAAAUUGAUCUUCCUGUCCAAAAGCAGGAAUAAACACAUAAGACGAGAAGACCCUGUGGAACUUAAAAAUCGCGACCACCACGUAUCAACCUAAACCCUACUAGGCUCACAACUACUAAACCAUUGGUCUGCAUUUUUUGGUUGGGGCGACCUUGGAGAAAAACAAAUCCUCCAAAAAUAAGACCACAUCUCUUAACCGAGAGCAACAUUUCAACGUGCUAAUAGUAACCAGACCCAAUGCAAUUGAUUAAUGAACCAAGCUACCCCAGGGAUAACAGCGCAAUCUCCUCCAAGAGCCCAUAUCGACGAGGAGGUUUACGACCUCGAUGUUGGAUCAGGACAUCCUAGUGGUGUAGCCGCUACUAAGGGUUCGUUUGUUCAACGAUUAAUAGUCCUACGUGAUCUGAGUUCAGACCGGAGCAAUCCAGGUCGGUUUCUAUCUAUGACAGACUUUUCCCAGUACGAAAGGACCGGAAAAGUAGGGCCAAUGCUACAAGCACACCCUCUUCCCAAGUAAUGACACAAGCUGAAUUACCAAAGGAAUAUCCACCAACAUUUGUCCUAGAAAAGGACCG
RNAcentral lists this ribosomal RNA (1591 nucleotides) under Pelecanoides urinatrix. RNAcentral describes it as "16S ribosomal RNA". The stretch from base 87 to 1475 matches the Rfam family "Bacterial large subunit ribosomal RNA". The record is from RNAcentral. Lineage: Eukaryota; Metazoa; Chordata; Aves; Procellariiformes; Procellariidae.